RNAcentral lists this transfer RNA (64 nucleotides) under Streptocephalus sirindhornae. Its description in RNAcentral is "tRNA-Thr". Lineage: Eukaryota; Metazoa; Arthropoda; Branchiopoda; Anostraca; Streptocephalidae. The record is from RNAcentral.
GACUAAGUAAUUAAAAGAUAAUAGUGGUCUUGUAAGCCAAAAUUAGAGAUCCCUCUCUUAGUCU